Molecule: ribosomal RNA, 468 nt
Filed under: uncultured bacterium
Lineage: Bacteria
Description: partial 16S ribosomal RNA
Rfam family: Bacterial small subunit ribosomal RNA
Source: RNAcentral
GACGAACGCUGGCGGCGUGCUUAACACAUGCAAGUCGAACGGAAAGGCCCUGCUUUUGUGGGGUGCUCGAGUGGCGAACGGGUGAGUAACACGUGAGUAACCUGCCAUUGACUUUGGGAUAACGUCAGGAAACUGGGGCUAAUACCGGAUAGGAGCUCCUGCUGCAUGGUGGGGGUUGGAAAGUUUCGGCGGUUGGGGAUGGGCUCGCGGCUUAUCAGCUUGUUGGUGGGGUAGUGGCUUACCAAGGCUUUGACGGGUAGCCGGCCUGAGAGGGUGACCGGCAACAUUGGGACUGAGAUACGGCCCAGACUCCUACGGGAGGCAGCAGUGGGGAAUAUUGCACAAUGGGCGGGAGCCUGAUGCAGCAACGCCGCGUGCGGGAUGACAGCCUUCGGGUUGUAAACCGCUUUCGCCUGUAACGAAGCGUGAGUGACGGUAAUGGGUAAAGAAGCACCGGCUAACUACGUG